RNAcentral lists this ribosomal RNA (465 nucleotides) under Vreelandella stevensii. RNAcentral's name for it is "partial 16S ribosomal RNA". It matches the Rfam family "Bacterial small subunit ribosomal RNA", at positions 338 to 795 of the family's 1533-position model. The record is from RNAcentral. Lineage: Bacteria; Pseudomonadati; Pseudomonadota; Gammaproteobacteria; Oceanospirillales; Halomonadaceae.
CCUACGGGCGGCAGCAGUGGGGAAUAUUGGACAAUGGGCGAAAGCCUGAUCCAGCCAUGCCGCGUGUGUGAAGAAGGCCUUCGGGUUGUAAAGCACUUUCAGUGGGGAAGAAAGCCUUGGGGCUAAUACCCUCGAGGAAGGACAUCACCCACAGAAGAAGCACCGGCUAACUCCGUGCCAGCAGCCGCGGUAAUACGGAGGGUGCGAGCGUUAAUCGGAAUUACUGGGCGUAAAGCGCGCGUAGGCGGUCUGAUAAGCCGGUUGUGAAAGCCCCGGGCUCAACCAGGGAACGGCAUCCGGAACUGUCAGGCUAGAGUGCAGGAGAGGAAGGUAGAAUUCCCGGUGUAGCGGUGAAAUGCGUAGAGAUCGGGAGGAAUACCAGUGGCGAAGGCGGCCUUCUGGACUGACACUGACGCUGAGGUGCGAAAGCGUGGGUAGCAAACAGGAUUAGAUACCCUGGUAGUC